CCUACGGGAGGCUGCAGUGAGGAAUAUUGGUCAAUGGACGAGAGUCUGAACCAGCCAAGUAGCGUGAAGGAUGACUGCCCUAUGGGUUGUAAACUUCUUUUAUAUGGGAAUAAAACGUUCCACGUGUGGGGUUUUGUAUGUACCAUAUGAAUAAGGAUCGGCUAACUCCGUGCCAGCAGCCGCGGUAAUACGGAGGAUCCGAGCGUUAUCCGGAUUUAUUGGGUUUAAAGGGAGCGUAGGUGGAUUGUUAAGUCAGUUGUGAAAGUUUGCGGCUCAACCGUAAAAUUGCAGUUGAAACUGGCAGUCUUGAGUACAGUAGAGGUAGGCGGAAUGCGUGGUGUAGCGGUGAAAUGCUUAGAUAUCACGCAGAACUCCGAUUGCGAAGGCAGUUCACUGGACUGCAACUGACACUGAGGCUCGAAAGUGUGGGUAUCAAACAGGAUUAGAUACCCCGGUAGUC
This 460-nucleotide ribosomal RNA is filed under the name uncultured bacterium. Its description in RNAcentral is "partial 16S ribosomal RNA". It matches the Rfam family "Bacterial small subunit ribosomal RNA", at positions 338 to 795 of the family's 1533-position model. The record is from RNAcentral.